Molecule: ribosomal RNA, 580 nt
Filed under: Pseudomonas sp.
Lineage: Bacteria; Pseudomonadati; Pseudomonadota; Gammaproteobacteria; Pseudomonadales; Pseudomonadaceae
Description: bacterial SSU rRNA
Rfam family: Bacterial small subunit ribosomal RNA
Source: RNAcentral
UGUUUCUUGUUUCACGGUGUUACGGGUGAUUAAUGCCUAGGAAUCUGCCUGGUAGUGGGGGAUAACGUUCGGAAACGAACGCUAAUACCGCAUACGUCCUACGGGAGAAAGCAGGGGACCUUCGGGCCUUGCGCUAUCAGAUGAGCCUAGGUCGGAUUAGCUAGUUGGUGAGGUAAUGGCUCACCAAGGCUACGAUCCGUAACUGGUCUGAGAGGAUGAUCAGUCACACUGGAACUGAGACACGGUCCAGACUCCUACGGGAGGCAGCAGUGGGGAAUAUUGGACAAUGGGCGAAAGCCUGAUCCAGCCAUGCCGCGUGUGUGAAGAAGGUCUUCGGAUUGUAAAGCACUUUAAGUUGGGAGGAAGGGCAUUAACCUAAUACGUUAGUGUUUUGACGUUACCGACAGAAUAAGCACCGGCUAACUCCGUGCCAGCAGCCGCGGUAAUACGAAGGGUGCAAGCGUUAAUCGGAAUUACUGGGCGUAAAGCGCGCGUAGGUGGUUCGUUAAGUUGAAUGUGAAAGCCCCGGGCUCAACCUGGGAACUGCAUCCAAAACUGGCGAGCUAGAGUACGGUAGAGG